This 211-nucleotide long non-coding RNA is filed under the name Phoenix dactylifera (date palm). RNAcentral describes it as "long non-coding RNA (PDAC_LNC015210)". Lineage: Eukaryota; Viridiplantae; Streptophyta; Magnoliopsida; Arecales; Arecaceae. The record is from RNAcentral.
UUCACUUUCUCAUAGCCCAUGCGUAUAAGUGAUCGUGCAGUGUAUGUAUCAGUAUGAAGUAGCUGCCUGGAGAUCUCCCCCUCGACAGAUAUGUCGUGCUGUCGGAAGAUCAAGGUGAGUAUCAUACCAUAAGGCAGAGAUACUCUGGAGUUGCAGAUCACCUUCCUCAUCUGCCUCAGGAUCAUGGCCGGGAGAUUCAGGGGAAUACCCU